AAUGGUCCAGUGAGAGUGAAGGCAUAAGAUUCUGUAAAACAUGGCAUCUAGGUGUAUAUUUCUACUCGAUUCAUGGAAUAGCACAAAAUCUCACUUCAUUUAGCUAUUGUGGAUGCAAAUUUGUAGCCCUGAAUGUCGCCGCAAUAAACACCAUGUAAGUUCACUACACUAACAGGCCACAGCUUAAGAGAAAUGAUUUCUUUCAUGCCUAAAACAAGGCAUGAAACAAAGGUGGAGAUGACCAGCAGGCAGCACUGCAGCAGCGAUUCUAGCACAGAAUACAAUACUGACCAACAAGGCAUGUAGAUUGGCGUGCAUUCAGUGGAAGAGAA
Molecule: long non-coding RNA, 332 nt
Filed under: Setaria italica (foxtail millet)
Lineage: Eukaryota; Viridiplantae; Streptophyta; Magnoliopsida; Poales; Poaceae
Description: long non-coding RNA (SITA_LNC005475)
Source: RNAcentral